Long non-coding RNA from Pangasianodon hypophthalmus (striped catfish), 1474 nucleotides. RefSeq lists it as uncharacterized. The record is from RefSeq and is a predicted model, not a curated record. Lineage: Eukaryota; Metazoa; Chordata; Actinopteri; Siluriformes; Pangasiidae. The transcript is spliced from 3 exons.
UAAAGGUCCUGCAUUAUUUUAUCUUUUUAAUUAUAUAUGUUCUAAUGUGAAAAAUAUAUUCACAUAAUAAAUAUAAACAAAAAAUAGUUGCAAAGCGGUUAUCAACAUGUAGGUCUUUUUUUUUCUGCUCUUCUCAAAAUCCUGAGCCUGCACCAGUUGAUUUGUGUGUGGUUAACCAUUUCAUAUAAUCUUUAACAAAUACACAUACUCAGUUAGUCACGUUUCUCUAAAUUGAGAAAUAAACAGAGGUCCUUCUUAAGGUGGCCACUACCAGUCAAAUUAAAGUACAGUAUGCAAACAUUUGUCUUUCAAUAUAAUAAAUAUUUUUGUUCAAAUGAUGACAGUAAAAUGUAUAAAAACCCUAGUAAUGCUGCAGAACCUACUAUAUUUGCACCAGUGCCAAAAACAAUAUGAUGCAGUGUAGAGAAGUAGUGUGAAUAGUGUGGUCAGCAAUGGCCCUGUGGUGGUCUCUUUUCAUUGAUUGACAGUGUAGAUCAGAAUCAGGCUUUAAUGGCCAAGUAUGCUUACACAUACAAGGAAUUUGUCUUUGGUUACACAGUAGCUCACAGGCUACAUAAGUGACAAACAUUACACACGAGCACAACUAGCACAUUCCUACCUGAGUUUAACUGCGCGCACACACACACACACACGCACACAGAUAUAUUCAUACCUGUAAACCUUGCAUAUGCAUACGGUGGAGAGAAUUUUUUAAGGUGCUGAGUGCAGUGGGUGGAUUAGAGAUAGUAGAGUAGAUUAUAGUAAGAUAAAUAUAAGGAAAUACAAUUAAAAAAUGAGGAAAAAGAAGGGAAAAAGUACAGAAGAUGGGGAGUUUUGUGCAGUUCUUAUGUUCAAUUGUUCAUGAGUGUGAAAGAGACUUUUUCUGCAGUCUGGCUGUUUUAAUCUUCAUUUGGCUGAUACGACUGACAGAGGAAAGUAGCUGGAACAGGUGAUGGCCAGGUAUUUCAUUGCCUGCUUCCUAAGUCUGGAAGUGUGCAGAUCCACCAGGGUGGUCAGCUUUACACCAGUGGUCUUUUCUGCAUAUUGAUGAUGUAACUUAUGAUGGUAGCAGCAGAAUGAAUUCAGAAGUCUACAGAAACAUUCCGUCUGUCAAUUUACAGAGAAAUGCAUCCAAUCUAAUUGAGAGGAACAUCAUGCAAGACAAUGACCCAAAACACACUGCCAACACAACAAAGGACAUCAUCAGAGUAAAAACAAAUUGGAAGCUGUGGUACAAGCCUGGAAAAGCAUCACAAAAGAAGAAUGCAACAGGUUUGCGCACCUAAAAAUUGGGUGGUCUGCCACCAAAGGGCUGACCAGUCUCUUGCUGUCCUUACUCAUCUGGGAGCCAGUCAAGGCCUGAGGGCCAGUCAAAGGCUGAGAAAUCAAUUGUGGAUUGAUGCUGCUUGCUGACUAAUGGACGGGCCUGAGUCUGCGGCAAGUGUGGCAAGAAACUCAUCAAGAUCACCAGGCU